RNAcentral lists this ribosomal RNA (253 nucleotides) under uncultured bacterium. Its description in RNAcentral is "partial 16S ribosomal RNA". It matches the Rfam family "Bacterial small subunit ribosomal RNA", at positions 524 to 776 of the family's 1533-position model. The record is from RNAcentral.
UACAGAGGGUGCGAGCGUUAAUCGGAAUUACUGGGCGUACAGGGAGCGUAGGCGGUUGGAUAAGCCCUCCGUGAAAUCUCCAGGCUUAACCUGGAAAGUGCAGAGGGGACUGUUCAGCUAGAGGAUGGGAGAGGAGCGCGGAAUUCCCGGUGUAGCGGUGAAAUGCGUAGAGAUCGGGAGGAAGGCCGGUGGCGAAGGCGGCGCUCUGGAACAUUUCUGACGCUGAGGCUCGAAAGCGUGGGGAGCAAACAGG